GAUCGCGGCGACGUGGGCGGUUCGCUGCCCGCGACGUCAUGAGAAGUCCACUGAACCUUAUCAUUUAGAGGAAGGAGAAGUCGUAACAAGGUUUCCGUAGGUGAACCUGCGGAAGGAUCAUUG
Molecule: ribosomal RNA, 123 nt
Filed under: Muraltia collina
Lineage: Eukaryota; Viridiplantae; Streptophyta; Magnoliopsida; Fabales; Polygalaceae
Also listed under: 6 other names
Description: partial 18S ribosomal RNA
Rfam family: Eukaryotic small subunit ribosomal RNA
Source: RNAcentral